UUUCCGUAGGUGAACCUGCGGAAGGAUCAUUGUCGAGACCGAAAUAAAUAUCGAGCGAUUCGGAGAACACGUAAUGAAAGCGGGGCGAUUCGCCUCCGUGGAAAAAUCUUCCCUGAUCGUUGCCUCCUCCUAGCGGGCUGCGGCACGAUGAGGGAUAGAUGAAAAAUUAUACCCGGCGCAACUCCGCGCCAAGUGCUUGUCAGAACACAUGAUCCCGCAUUGGGCUCAGUGUCAAGGGGUGCGAUGCACCCUAUAUUACCGACACGACUCUCGGCAAUGGAUAUCUCGGCUCUUGCAUCGAUGAAGAGCGCAGCGAAAUGCGAUACGUGGUGCGAAUUGCAGAAUCCCGCGAACCAUCGAGUCUUUGAACGCAAGUUGCGCCCGAGGCCAACCGGCCGAGGGCACGUCCGCCUGGGCGUCAAGCGUUGCGUCGAUUCGUGCCUGCUCCAUCACCUCCGCGGGUGCGUGGGCCAGUGCUCGAAUGCGCAGAGUGGCUCCUCGCACGCUCUGGUGCGGCGGGCUGAAGAGCGGGGAAUCAUCUCGUUGGCCGCGAGCAACAAGGGGUGGAUGCAGGAUAUACGCCUGUGUUGCGUCGUGCUGGACCGUGAAGAGGUGAUGCGCUCCCAAAAUUUCGAUCCCGAUCCACGCGCCGGCAUGAAGGCGCCGGAAUGGAAUGCGACCCCAGGAUGGGCGAGGCCACCCGCUGAGUUU
This 711-nucleotide ribosomal RNA is filed under the name Oberonia japonica. RNAcentral describes it as "eukaryotic LSU rRNA". The stretch from base 266 to 421 matches the Rfam family "5.8S ribosomal RNA". Lineage: Eukaryota; Viridiplantae; Streptophyta; Magnoliopsida; Asparagales; Orchidaceae. The record is from RNAcentral.